UGUGGUUAGCGGUGAAAUGCCAAUCGAACUCGGAGAUAGCUGGUUCUCCUCGAAACAGUUUUAGGACUGGCGUCAUGUGGUAGCAGUCGGGGGUAGAGCUCUGUAAAGGACUGGGGGGAGCAAUCCUACCCACCCUUAACAAACUACGAAUACCGGCUGUGGAAUCAUGGCAGUUAGAACGGCGGAGCUAAGUUCGUCGCUCAAAAGGGAAACAGCCCAGACCAUCGUCUAAGGUCCCUAAAUUUACGUUAAGUGGGAAACAAGGUGAGAUUUCUUAAACAGCUAGGAUGUUGGCUUAGAAGCAGCCAUUCAUUUAAAGAGUGCGUAACAGCUCACUAGUCAAGAGAUUUUGCGUGGAAAAUGUAACGGGGCUAAAGUGUUAAACCGAAGACAUGGACUUCUGCUUUUGCAGGAGUGGUAGAGGAGCGUUGAUAUCGCAGCGAAGUCAGACUGGAAAGUCUGGUGGAGCGUUAUCAAGUGAGAAUGCUGGAAUCAGUAACCUUAAGGCAGGUGAGAAUCCUGCCGGUCGUAAGAGCAAGGUUUCCAGGGCUACAGUAAUUGUCCCUGGGUUAGUCGGUCCUAAGCCGAGGCGUAUCAGCGUAGGCGAUGGACAACAGGUUAAUAUUCCUGUACAGGUAGUAGUUGUGAACAGUUCACGGUGAAUGACCGGAGCGGAUUAAUGGUUUAUCCGUCCAAGUCUUUAGGGAACUAAAGAUGAGUGAAAGGUAAUCUUCGGAUUAUUAAUUCCGGGUAAAGCGCUGGCUAGAAAAGCUGGUUCACUUAUGCUGCUGCCUACCGUACCGCAAACCAACACCGGUGCUCGGGUCGAGUAGACCAAGACCUACGUGAGAACCUUCGCUAAGGAACUCGGCAAAAAAGCGUCCGUAACUUCGGAAUAAGGACUGCCCUCUCAUUAAGAUGAGGAUUUGCUAGAAACUCAGCAGAAGAUUCAGAUAAAAAUAUCUGGUUAUUUAAAAUUACAUUUUUUGAGACCAUAAGCAUGGGCGAGCGCCCUUGAGCGUGUCGAAAAAAAUGUAAUCAAAUGAUUUACCUUUAACUGAAUUUUUUCGUUGAGACAGAACACAAAUCAGGAUUUGUUUUAACAAAUUCGUGUCUUUUCUAGUAGUCUAAUCGUCAUUUUGAUGAGAGGGCCGCAGCUAAAGAGCCCACGGAACUGUUUACCAAAAACAUAGGUCUCUGCUAACGCGAAAGCGGAUGUAUAGGGGCUGACUCCUGCCCGGUGUCGGAAGGUUAAGGGGAGAGCUUUACGGUUCGAACUGAAGCCCCGAUGAACGGCGGCGAUAACUAUGAUCGUCCUAAGGUAGCGAAAUUCCUUGUCUGGUAAGUUCAGACCCGCACGAAUGGAGUAAUCAUGUGGGCACUGUCUCGGCGAAGGCCACGGUGAACGUGCAUUGGCGGUAAAGAUGCCGUCUGAUCAUGCCAGGACGAGAAGACCCCAUGGAGCUUUACUACAACUUUGCAUUGAUUAUUGGGACAUUUUGUGUAGAAUAGGUGGAAGACUUUGAAGCAGAUACGCUAGUAUUUGUGGAGUCGAAAUGUGAAAUACCACCCUGAAUGUUUUAGUAAUCUCACUUUUGACCUGAUCGGCCAAAAGGACCGUGCAUGGCGGGUAGUUUAACUGGGGCGGUUGCCUCCUAAAGAGUAGCGGAGGCGUUCAAAGGU
RNAcentral lists this ribosomal RNA (1683 nucleotides) under human oral metagenome. RNAcentral describes it as "bacterial LSU rRNA". It matches the Rfam family "Bacterial large subunit ribosomal RNA", at positions 810 to 2317 of the family's 2925-position model. The record is from RNAcentral.